This 433-nucleotide ribosomal RNA is filed under the name uncultured bacterium. RNAcentral's name for it is "partial 16S ribosomal RNA". It matches the Rfam family "Bacterial small subunit ribosomal RNA", at positions 29 to 507 of the family's 1533-position model. The record is from RNAcentral.
AACGAACGCUGGCGGCAUGCCUAACACAUGCAAGUCGAACGAGACCUUCGGGUCUAGUGGCGCACGGGUGCGUAACGCGUGGGAACCUGCCCUUAGGUUCGGAAUAACUCCCCGAAAGGGGUGCUAAUACCGGAUAAUGUCUUCGGACCAAAGAUUUAUCGCCUUUGGAUGGGCCCGCGUUGGAUUAGCUAGUUGGUAGGGUAAAAGCCUACCAAGGCGACGAUCCAUAGCUGGUCUGAGAGGAUGAUCAGCCACACUGGGACUGAGACACGGCCCAGACUACUACGUGAGGCAGCAGUGGGGAAUAUUGGACAAUGGGCGAAAGCCUGAUCCAGCAAUGCCGCGUGAGUGAUGAAGGCCUUAGGGUUGUAAAGCUCUUUUACCCGGGAUGAUAAUGACAGUACCGGGAGAAUAAGCUCCGGCUAACUCCGUG